CCUACGGGUGGCAGCAGUGGGGAAUAUUGCACAAUGGGGGAAACCCUGAUGCAGCGACGCCGCGUGAGUGAAGAAGUAUCUCGGUAUGUAAAGCUCUAUCAGCAGGGAAGAAAAUGACGGUACCUGACUAAGAAGCCCCGGCUAACUACGUGCCAGCAGCCGCGGUAAUACGUAGGGGGCAAGCGUUAUCCGGAUUUACUGGGUGUAAAGGGAGCGUAGACGGCAGCACAAGUCUGGAGUGAAAUCCCGGGGCUUAACCCCGGAACUGCUUUGGAAACUGUGCAGCUAGAGUGCAGGAGGGGUAAGCGGAAUUCCUAGUGUAGCGGUGAAAUGCGUAGAUAUUAGGAGGAACACCGGUGGCGAAGGCGGCUUACUGGACUGUAACUGACGUUGAGGCUCGAAAGCGUGGGGAGCAAACAGGAUUAGAUACCCUUGUAGUC
Molecule: ribosomal RNA, 440 nt
Filed under: uncultured bacterium
Lineage: Bacteria
Description: partial 16S ribosomal RNA
Rfam family: Bacterial small subunit ribosomal RNA
Source: RNAcentral